UUGGAUGUUGCUCUUGAUGCU
This 21-nucleotide non-coding RNA is filed under the name Arabidopsis thaliana (thale cress). The record is from RNAcentral. Lineage: Eukaryota; Viridiplantae; Streptophyta; Magnoliopsida; Brassicales; Brassicaceae.